RNAcentral lists this ribosomal RNA (2673 nucleotides) under Klebsiella quasipneumoniae. RNAcentral describes it as "bacterial LSU rRNA". It matches the Rfam family "Bacterial large subunit ribosomal RNA". Lineage: Bacteria; Pseudomonadati; Pseudomonadota; Gammaproteobacteria; Enterobacterales; Enterobacteriaceae. The record is from RNAcentral.
CACUAUCGUUAACUGAAUACAUAGGUUAACGAGGCGAACCGGGGGAACUGAAACAUCUAAGUACCCCGAGGAAAAGAAAUCAACCGAGAUUCCCCCAGUAGCGGCGAGCGAACGGGGAGCAGCCCAGAGUCUGAAUCAGCUUGUGUGUUAGUGGAACGGUCUGGAAAGUCCGACGGUACAGGGUGAUAGUCCCGUACACCAAAAUGCACAGGCUGUGAACUCGAAGAGUAGGGCGGGACACGUGGUAUCCUGUCUGAAUAUGGGGGGACCAUCCUCCAAGGCUAAAUACUCCUGACUGACCGAUAGUGAACCAGUACCGUGAGGGAAAGGCGAAAAGAACCCCGGCGAGGGGAGUGAAAAAGAACCUGAAACCGUGUACGUACAAGCAGUGGGAGCACCUUUAUGGUGUGACUGCGUACCUUUUGUAUAAUGGGUCAGCGACUUAUAUUCUGUAGCAAGGUUAACCGUAUAGGGGAGCCGCAGGGAAACCGAGUCUUAACUGGGCGUUAAGUUGCAGGGUAUAGACCCGAAACCCGGUGAUCUAGCCAUGGGCAGGUUGAAGGUUGGGUAACACUAACUGGAGGACCGAACCGACUAAUGUUGAAAAAUUAGCGGAUGACUUGUGGCUGGGGGUGAAAGGCCAAUCAAACCGGGAGAUAGCUGGUUCUCCCCGAAAGCUAUUUAGGUAGCGCCUCGUGAAUUCAUCUUCGGGGGUAGAGCACUGUUUCGGCUAGGGGGUCAUCCCGACUUACCAACCCGAUGCAAACUACGAAUACCGAAGAAUGUUAUCACGGGAGACACACGGCGGGUGCUAACGUCCGUCGUGAAGAGGGAAACAACCCAGACCGCCAGCUAAGGUCCCAAAGUCAUGGUUAAGUGGGAAACGAUGUGGGAAGGCACAGACAGCCAGGAUGUUGGCUUAGAAGCAGCCAUCAUUUAAAGAAAGCGUAAUAGCUCACUGGUCGAGUCGGCCUGCGCGGAAGAUGUAACGGGGCUAAACCAUGCACCGAAGCUGCGGCAGCGACACGAUGUGUUGUUGGGUAGGGGAGCGUUCUGUAAGCCUGCGAAGGUGACCUGUGAGGGUUGCUGGAGGUAUCAGAAGUGCGAAUGCUGACAUAAGUAACGAUAAAGCGGGUGAAAAGCCCGCUCGCCGGAAGACCAAGGGUUCCUGUCCAACGUUAAUCGGGGCAGGGUGAGUCGACCCCUAAGGCGAGGCCGAAAGGCGUAGUCGAUGGGAAACAGGUUAAUAUUCCUGUACUUGGUGUUACUGCGAAGGGGGGACGGAGAAGGCUAUGUUAGCCGGGCGACGGUUGUCCCGGUUUAAGCAUGUAGGCUGAUUAUCCAGGCAAAUCCGGAUAAUCAAGGCUGAGGUGUGAUGACGAGGCACUACGGUGCUGAAGUAACAAAUGCCCUGCUUCCAGGAAAAGCCUCUAAGCAUCAGGUAACAUCAAAUCGUACCCCAAACCGACACAGGUGGUCAGGUAGAGAAUACCAAGGCGCUUGAGAGAACUCGGGUGAAGGAACUAGGCAAAAUGGUGCCGUAACUUCGGGAGAAGGCACGCUGGUGUGUAGGUGAAGCCCCUGCGGGUGGAGCUGAGACCAGUCGAAGAUACCAGCUGGCUGCAACUGUUUAUUAAAAACACAGCACUGUGCAAACACGAAAGUGGACGUAUACGGUGUGACGCCUGCCCGGUGCCGGAAGGUUAAUUGAUGGGGUUAUCCGUAAGGAGAAGCUCUUGAUCGAAGCCCCGGUAAACGGCGGCCGUAACUAUAACGGUCCUAAGGUAGCGAAAUUCCUUGUCGGGUAAGUUCCGACCUGCACGAAUGGCGUAAUGAUGGCCAGGCUGUCUCCACCCGAGACUCAGUGAAAUUGAACUCGCUGUGAAGAUGCAGUGUACCCGCGGCAAGACGGAAAGACCCCGUGAACCUUUACUAUAGCUUGACACUGAACAUUGAGCCUUGAUGUGUAGGAUAGGUGGGAGGCUUUGAAGCGUGGACGCCAGUCUGCGUGGAGCCAACCUUGAAAUACCACCCUUUAAUGUUUGAUGUUCUAACGUUGGCCCCUUACCGGGGUUGCGGACAGUGUCUGGUGGGUAGUUUGACUGGGGCGGUCUCCUCCCAAAGCGUAACGGAGGAGCACGAAGGUUAGCUAAUCCUGGUCGGACAUCAGGAGGUUAGUGCAAUGGCAUAAGCUAGCUUGACUGCGAGCGUGACGGCGCGAGCAGGUGCGAAAGCAGGUCAUAGUGAUCCGGUGGUUCUGAAUGGAAGGGCCAUCGCUCAACGGAUAAAAGGUACUCCGGGGAUAACAGGCUGAUACCGCCCAAGAGUUCAUAUCGACGGCGGUGUUUGGCACCUCGAUGUCGGCUCAUCACAUCCUGGGGCUGAAGUAGGUCCCAAGGGUAUGGCUGUUCGCCAUUUAAAGUGGUACGCGAGCUGGGUUUAGAACGUCGUGAGACAGUUCGGUCCCUAUCUGCCGUGGGCGCUGGAGAAUUGAGGGGGGCUGCUCCUAGUACGAGAGGACCGGAGUGGACGCAUCACUGGUGUUCGGGUUGUCAUGCCAAUGGCACUGCCCGGUAGCUAAAUGCGGAAGAGAUAAGUGCUGAAAGCAUCUAAGCACGAAACUUGCCCCGAGAUGAGUUCUCCCUGAGACUUUAAGUCUCCUGAAGGAACGUU